Molecule: long non-coding RNA, 15946 nt
Organism: Haplochromis burtoni (Burton's mouthbrooder)
Lineage: Eukaryota; Metazoa; Chordata; Actinopteri; Cichliformes; Cichlidae
Exons: 2
Source: RefSeq, a predicted model, not a curated record
ACAGCACUUCCCAUCGCAUUUGGCCAAAUUGUUCUUGCCAUAUCAAAAACAAUUAUCCUCAGGUGAAGAAUGUGCCUGCAGAAUUACAACCAUUCCAGGGGGAGAAAGAGGUCUUCACAAAUCUGACUGGCUUCCAGGCAGCCAAGACCCCCUCGAAGUGGUAAUGAAAAGUGUAACUUUAGCCUCCCAGCUGUACGUCUCAAUCCAUAAUCCUUCCCCAAAAACCUCACCGUAGAGCCGCCUACCACUCCCAUGGCGUUCCCAGCCUGUGCCGGGCUGGGCCUACACUGAUUUAUGUGGCAGUCCCGUGUCAUACUCUCAACCUGAAAAGGAUUUGCUCUCCUAUAUUUACCAGGGUGGUCAGGGCAGCUCUCUGGAAACACAGAAAGCCCAGUCUCCGGGCCUCACUCCCGCACAGUCGUUUUACCCCUCUGUGCCAAUAACAUGGAGAUUUUGGAGCUCCAGUGUUUCCAAAGUGGGGUGUUUAAGCAGUGCAGAGGUCAGAGUCCAUGUACUCACGCCAACACAGCCACAUGGCCACGUUUUGGUAUGCAGAUACACAGACACAGGUAAGUCUGGUCCAGGUGCACCCCACAGUGAUCCUGACCCACUCUGGUUCACCCCGCAGCUCUCAGGUCAAGCCUUGGGCCCAGCAGGUUCCCAGCACAGGUCACAGAAGGCCUCAACAUCCCAGAGAUGAGACUCCACACUUGCAUGAAGAGGAGUGUUUGAUGUGUCCCUUAGCUGGGAUGUGUUACCAUGUUACUAUGCCUUUAAUUAGCUCCAGCAGCUGCUACUUCCUGGUUGACAGGCCCUGGCAAACUCCACUGUCUCUGUAAUCUCUUACAGGUGACUGUCAGUUACAUGUCAGAUGUUGUAUAGUUGCUGGGAUGUGUGUUCUCCUUUAAGUCUAAUUAACCGUGAAGUGACAGUAGACAAGAGUAGUAAAAAAGAAAAAGAAGUGCUCGCGCUGCUGUAAUGACCACAGCAUGUUUCCAAAUAUGUUAUGCAAAUACGUCUCCAAGUGCCAAUUCCUGCCCAUUAUUUUUUACAAGUUUCGUGUCUGGUUUCCGAGGAUGCAAUCAUGACAAAGAGAUAGCGAAGUUCUCCUGGUGACAGUAAAAGUGCCACUCUGCAUUCUUUAUGUGGAUUUCCAGCUUGCACAAGACAUCUUAACCACUGGAAAUUGCCCUCUGAGGACUGACAGCUAAAAAUUUAUCUCAGAUUAGAUGAUUGCACCUUGUUCCCUGCUCUUCUUUGUCACUCCCAAGUUGGGGGAUCUUUCCUUAAAACUCCACUAGAGAUGAAAAAAGGAGACUUCAUAGCUGGCUAUGGCAUACUAAUACCCUGGACUCAUUAAAUUAAUGGGGGCCAGAUUCCUCUUACUGAAUGUGCACUGAUGCCCUUUGAGUUUGCCGGGGCUAGAGGGUGUGCAGCACUUUGAAAGCCCUGACCGGCAUAUUGAACAUGCUUUAAUAGAACCCUUUUGAGAGUCCUGGUAGGAUGCUCAGUAACUCUUUGCCUUUAAGUUCCCGCACCUCUCUGUGUGAUCUCGUCAGAUAGCCACUCUAUCCUCGGAUUCAGGCCUGGAGAGGGGGAGGGGACCUUGCACAUUAAAUGAGACCAGAGGUGUCCAUAUCUCAGCAGAAGCCAUUCUUUCCUGGAGAUGUGAAUCUUUGAGACAUGGUGCUGAGAAAGCUUUGAUGUAGAACGGUGCUCAGUGUAAGACUCUGAAACAGGAGGCUUACAGGCCGGUAUUCAGUGGGAUUCCCCUUCAGGGAGGAGAAUCUGGGCUCUCGUUGGACAUUCGUGGAGCGUUGAUUUAAUUAGUCUAUUCUGCUAUCCAUCCAAGCACUUGAGGCACAGGAAUAAAAUUCCGUCCGGCAAAUGGCCAUUACGAAUGUCACUGUCCAUUUAAUGUGAAGACACCACUAUCAAUCGCUCCAUAAUCUAGGCAAGCCAAAGGAGUUUAAAUAAAGAUAAGAACAGCAAAGAAAAGUAUAUUGUUUUAAAUACAAUACUGUGUCACAGUGAAUGCCUUAAAAUAAUGGGAGGAAUAGAAUAUUAAUACAUGAUUUUGCAUAUUUGCCUGACAGCAAAAAGAUGAAUUGAUAAGACAAGAAAGCUGUUGAACUCUAAUUUGCAUGAUAAAAAAGUCCCUUUAGAGUACCCUCGUGACUGUUGGAACCACAAGUACCAGAUGUUAAGAUAGAGCAAAUCUACCUCAGUGAAAUGAAGAUAUUAGGCUGGAGAAUCAUUUAUGAUUUAAUUAUUUCAAUAUUGGUGUUCUAGUAAGGCCCAAACCAUGUAGCUUUUUGCUCAGCUCUAAGGAUAUUUUGAUAAAAUGAUAAUCUUCCUCUCUUUUCUGCUCUGUCAUCUUGGCUGCACACUAUUGAACAGAAACAUCACUGACAAUGAUGUGAUUACACAGUCCAGUGUGAGGUAGCAAGACUCAUCCAGAUGGGCUGGGGGAAAAAAACUCUUUUAAACCCAGCUGAAUAAGGCAAGCAUCUAUAGAAGCACACUGACAGAGAAGAUGCAAUGCAUGAGCCAGACAAUGAGCCUCUAGCUGUUGCACAUAGCGAAUAAACAGAAAUCCAGUUGAACUAAAAAUGGCUGACUCAGACACACAGUAGAGAUAGCAUCACAUCUCCUGCUAUAAUUCUCCAUAUCUCUCCCUCUCCCUUUUGCAUACGACAAAACAGCACCAUAUACUUCUUACAGGAAACCAUGUUGGGCAAUCAUUGAUUUUCAUAGCUAGCUUUGACAGUAAUGAUUUCAUAAAGCCUUUGAUUUUAGCUCAAUCACAAUGGCUGCAACAUUGCUGGAUACCUCACCUCAUUAGCAAUUCCAUAAGCAGAGAGUGAUGCUCUGUUGUAGCUGCUGAUACUUACAUGCCUCCCACUCUAAAGUGUGGCGGUAAUUUAUUCUCUCCCCAGUGCUCAUCAUCCUGAUGCAACUCACACAGUGACAAGAAUCCAUCUCGUAGUACCUGGCAACAAACCGGAGGGGGGGAGGGGGACAAAGGAGGGGGAUCACAUAUUUUGUGAUCACAAUCAGAGGCGUGAGGACAGUUACUAGGAAGGUUUAAAACGUCCCAGUGUCAUAAAACUCCCACUAGAACACCUUGUGAAGAGUAAAACUGGUCUGAUUUAUCAUAGACAUGAUCACUCGUUCAACAGGUCUGACUGAGUUUAAAUAUUUUCAAGAGCAAAGGUAAAGAACAGUUCCCAGAUUUGAGCACAUAUAAGCCAUCUUCUGAUGCCAGAAGUUUUUCUCAGAGUCUGGCUUAAGCACUUCAAAGUUAUGUAGGCUACUAUAUAGAGAGCACGAUUCAUUUGGCAGCUUGUAUUGUCCAGCUUCAAAAACCUAAAGCUAGCCAAAGACACACUGUGGGCCGUUUUCAGCUUCAGAGAAGAGAAAGAAUUUAGCUUGAGCUUAGGGCACCCUUCCCCAUCCAGAGAUGGGCUUUUUUUCAUCUUUUCGUAGUCUUAGAGCAUUGGUGUGGUGACUAUGUGCUUCACAGGUGGGAGUCUGCCUCUGUCAAAUGAGGUAGUUCACUAAGGAUGGGAUUUGCCGCUGUUAUUUUUCUAUUAGGGAAGAAUUAUGCUAAGCCUUUAGAGGCCAUCUUUGUGUUGCUAUGGCAGCCCAUAUUUCCUACCGGGUUGCGACCUUGAAUGACUACAGUGCAAAGCCAAGUAGCCCCAAAACCCUUUGAGGAUUAGAACCAGUGUCUCAUAGUUAUGCAAAACGCCUGUGAUAUGAUUGAACCUUGAAUGGAUGAAUGACAAAGUUUAUUGAGAUUGCCUCUCUUUUCUUCUGAUUGUCAUUUGAUCAUCCCAAUCACUUAGCAUGCCUUUAAAUGCAGCCUUUCAAACGGCAAUUGUUUGGGAUAAGUUUUCAUGCCCACCAACCUUACAUUGUUAACUACUAAACCAGUAAAAACAAGAUCAUUUGUGCUUGUACAAAUGUAACUCUAGGGCUGGAACUAUUGACUAACAUUCAUCUUAUGUGAUAAAAUGAAUGGAAAUUCUCACAUGAUUUCCUCUUGGAUUAAUAAAGUAUUCUGAUUAUGGUUCUGAUGACUGAAAACAGUAAAAAGUAUGUAUAAGCCACGGUGACACCUUCAAUUUGCUUUCUAUGUCUAAUAGUCAAAAACCAAAAGGUAUUUAGUUUUACAACUAUGAACACACCAAAAAGACGCAAUGCAGGUUUAUGAGAAAAUGUUGCACAUUUUUCAAAUGAACAUUUGAUUAAAAUUUGGUGUUUUUUUCUAUUACUAGACUAAUCAAUUUUAGCAGUAAGUCAGACAAAUUGGUACAUUUAUUAUAAACACAAUGGUCUAAAAGGGGUAAUGUCCAUUUUGAAACUGAUUUUUCUCUUCCUGUCUUGUGCUGAUAGAUUUUUUAAUCAUCACCACAUACUACUGCUGGAGUUCUAGUGCUGGAUUGCAAUUUACAGCUGACUUGGAUGUUUCUUUCUGCGGCUGGCUAUAUCUAAGCUUACUAACAUUUAAUACAAAGUUGAGGUAGAAAUAUAGUUUGUGCUUAUGGAUCAAAUUAAAUGCACAACCAAAUCAAUGAUUUAUUUAUUUUUUCCAAUUUAGAAUUUGUUGCAAACUGUUUUCAAACCAGCCAUCAAAGCCUCAAGUCUAUUCGGAGGCAUGUAUAGACAGCUACUCAAAGCUGACACAAAGAUGAGGCUUUGAAAGUAUGAGAUUGACACUAUUGUGGUCACAAAGCACAACAGGAGACUACUUUGAAGAGGAAAAUGCUUUGAGUAUUGGAUUUCACUUCAGAAAUAGUGGCCAAAGACAAGCUCAGCUACUAGACGUGUUGAAUUGGUGUACAUUAAACAACAAAACCACGUACACUAUAUGCCACUUCCGUGUGUCCAAAAAGAAAUACGGAAAGGUUAAAACUCUGGUGUUAAAGUUUUGAAACUGCAGAUAAAUAUUAUGCACUAGGCUUUUUUUCUGUCUUCUGUAUCUUGGGAUGGUGAAGACUUAAGAUGCAUAAAAACUUGACAAUAUAUCCAAGCAAUCCUUACUUUUUUACUUCACAAAAUAAAGUGCAGCUAUCAUAGCCACGUCUUGUUGCCAGUUUGGGAAUUGAUCAGUCUCAAUUCCAAGCUGUAUCUUUCUCAACUGGCAGGUCUCCUGAAGUUGACACACUGUCUGACAGUGUCUUGUCAAUGACUGAGCUUGACUGAAAUCCCCAGCCAUGUUUGCUCACUGCCAAAGUGGUAUCUAUCAUCUUAUUUUUGACAAAUUCGUCACACACAUCUCUCAAUCUAAUUGGUCUUUGAGGUUCCUGUAAGACAAAGACUGCUAAUCUUAGUGUGAGCGUUUGAACGGCGCUUGCCAUUGAAUACUUCUCAAGUCUUUGAGCUUGUGUUCAGCGAAGUUUGAAAAACAUGACAGUCACAUUUUAGGUGCUCUGAUGUCACACAGUCUUUCUGGCUUAAAAGUUCACUCAAUAUGAGGUUUGGUCUACUUUGAUGUGGGGUCUCUAGUGAUGCGAUUUUAGCAUGCUAUCUGCCUCUGCUGUUCUCUGUCACCCACUCCUGCAAAGACUGACGUGGGAGCUGCCAGAGCUGAGAUUCAGCCUUUUAUUCCUGGUGACUACAAAUUAAAGAUAUGGGGAAGGUAAAUUCAGGCAGCACCAUGACAAGCAGAAGGUACAAACUUCUGCCAGUAUUUACUCCUGCGAGAGACACUAUACCUAAAAACCUGAAAUAUAGUCUGGCUCAGUCGUAGAUGUUUUUUUUCCCCGUUUUGUUUAUAAGACGACAAAAAUGUUAUUUUUAAUGUCUAGUGAUCGUGAAGAGCUUCUCCUGCUUCAAAUGGCAAGAAAAGCAAAGCUAUCAAGCGCUGUUUUUGUAAUGCAUCUCCAGAUUAAUUUACAUAAACAAGCUCACCUGCUUAUAAACACCCUGGAAAACACGCAGGGAAGUUUGUUUAUGACUUAUUAAUUUAAGUUUAAAAUACCCCUCUCCCAAACAACUUACAAUUCAUUUCCUGCACAUUAUGCAACGUUCCCCCGUCUGAACCUGAGACUGUGAAGUAGCAGCUCUGCGAGGGGGGGUAGAAACGCUGAAACGACGAUAAAGAUCUAGUAAUCUUGUUUUAUGCUUAUGGCGUCGAGAGAAGAUCCUCCGCCCCCCUGCGACGCGACGCUCACCUGAAGAAGCUACCGGAGCACCACAUGACUCCUCUGCUGCUCACAUCACCGUGUCCUGAGAAUGGGGAUUUAGUGAGGAUUAAAGCAGAAUAUUUCAAUUUAGCGCCGGAAUUUACCUGGCUGUGCCAAAGUAAUUACCUACCCCUUCUGGAAAAAAUGCAGUUAUGGAAACAGUGAAACACACCUACAGACGGGAACGACGUGAAUGGCUCUAAGUCGAAUAAAGAGGAAAUCUAGGACGUUAAUGAAAGUAAUUAAAAAACCCGUGUCGGUUGCCAAAUCUCUUCAUUAUAUAAUAAAUAGUUAAUAGUGUAAAAUAAAACAAUGUGCCAUUCGGUGUUAGUCCUGUUCGUUAGGUAGCAUAUUGUGUUAACCCUUUAUGUUCUGGAACAUUAUCAUAACAUCAUUUUUCAGUUUGGACUGGGAGCAUAGUCUGUCGAAGACUCCUUAAAACGGAAACGCUAUUUUAUUAUUAUUAUUAUUAUUAUUAUUAUUAUUAUUAUUAUUAUUAUUAUUAUUAUUAAUAAUAAUAUUAUUUUGUUUAAAACAUUUUUUAACAUUAUGAGGUUAAAUAGAUAUAGAGGCGAGAUAUCAUUUGGAAAUUUCACUGAGUAUAAAAGGAAAUAUUCAUAUUGGAUAGAAAAUUAUAAUUGUGGGAAACCUGGUGUAGUUUCAGUGUAUGUGUGUAAGAAAAUCGCAAAGGAAAAUAUAGGUUUAUAAAACUUUAAUAUAUAUAUUCACAUAUGUGCUAUUAUUAUUAUAUAGGCCUAUUUGUUAUAUCCUGUAAAAGACAUUUUUAAACUUAAAGGCCGGAUUUGAAAUCAUAAUUUUAAUAUUACAAUACAUUAAACUGAGGUUGUUGCUGUAAGCUAAAUAUUAGAGUACAGUUGAAUUAUUUGUACAUUUACCGUCCUGCUACAAAAUAGACGGAAUGUGAUGUUUUUUGUAAUUUAUUCUUUUUUGACUCAUAACAUGUUGACUUAAGUUUGUUGCGCUCAAAUGUAAUUAGUGGAGUCCCUAGGUGCAAGCUUCUUCAGAUUAAAGCUUUUAUUCAUCUGUGUGAUGUGUUUAGGUGCUGUAUGGAGAACUGCGCCAGCUCAUUUGCUUUAGUUAAAAAAUGAAAGAAAGAAAGAAAAAAGGCCUGAAUACAAUUAGGUGUUGUCUGUGGUUAUGAUUUAUUUCAUUGACCAGUUAUGACCAAAUAUACAAACAAAAGGCCUUCAUGUUCAAAUAUAAAUACGUUUAGCUCUUUGAUAUGAUAACUUUACACAUUUUGUUGAGUAAUAUUUUCCUUCACUGCAAAAUAAAUGCUUAAAUAAAGUGGAAUGGUUCCUAUGAAAGUAUGAAAGGAAUGCAGACAGACUAAAAAAUAAGAUGAAAGAUGGGGACGGAGUCAUAUUUAUGCUCUCCGCUUAGCGUCACAUUCUCUGAUUUGGAUUUGACGCAGAUUCUGUCGGUGAUCUUUCAUAUUGCCUUUCAUCACAUGAGAGAGACGAAAACAUCUGUAGGAUACCUUGUUCGGUCUGUUCUACAGAGAAGACGAGACAGAGGGCCCCUGUGUGAGUAUAUCCCAUGUAAACAGGGCCCUGUGCAUUGUGUGAAUUAGGUGGAUUAGCCCCUGCUUUUGUUGGACAUGGUGUGUACACACGGACACUGAUUCAGCUCUCCAAAAGCCAUUUUGGCCCUCACAACUUUAAGGAAGCCUUACAUUCUUAGGAGAUGGUCUAAAUGGGGGAUUCCUUUUGAAGCAACACGGCAUUCAUUAUUGUGUUGGUUCAGGUUUUGUUUGGCAAAAUGCAAAAACAUUGAAUUCAGUCGGAGCCUCCAUUAUAGUUUAGCCUGCAAAGACGAAUGGAAAACAUCCUGUUGGUGUCUUAAACUCGUCAAACGAAGCCCCGAAUUCGAGUAAUAACCCAGUGAACACAGGCAGAGAUAAAUACCUUUAAUUAGACCUAUCGAAUCUAUAAUUAUUAGUUUUGAUUGACUGAUAUUAUUGGUGACAUGAAAUUGGAGCAUGUGGAACACCCACCCAUACAGUCUCAUCGACCACCCGCCGCGCGUGCACGUGAUUUUGAGGUGUAAAUAAACAUUUGCACGUAUUUCUUCAUAUUUCCAGUUUUUGAACAAUUAAGACAAACAAUUUAAGGACUGGUUUAUUAACGCCGCCCAAUUAAAACAUCCCCCAGAACCAAUUUGUCUUCAUAUCAGCUGUCCUACCACGAUUUCUUCCAAAUAUUUUCAAAAUCGUUGCGAGCGGGUUUCGUCCCUCACGUCUGUCAGGUGCGAUCCAACAGAUGUGACUUAGAUGAUAUUUUAGAGUCCGUGAUUUUAUUUUUUCGUAAUCUUUGCCGUUUGAAUAGAAACAUAGUUUGUUUUUUUUCCGAUCUGUUCUGCUCCCAUAAACUUUUGCUUAGUCCACUUCGUUUCAUGUGUCCUCACUAAAAAUAUGAAAUGCAACAGAUGUCGGAGACAAAAGAGGGAAAUUUAAUGGGAUACCGAUAAAAGUCAAACUGGCCGAUAUGCAACGCCAUGGCCUCUUUACGAUUCAUGAUUUUAGUGGCCAAAGAAAAACUAAUUGGAAAACAGUUUUAAUGCGGAUUUUGUAAUAAGAGUACAUCAGAAGGCCCGUAUAGGCCCCCUCUCUGCGUGACGUUUUCAUCAGUAUUCAUCCACCUGUAGCUUCAAGGCUUCUGUUGAUUUUGAAAUUAAUAAUGAUUGUUUUCGCAAACUACUCUACUCCCAUCAUUUGAGUUUGUUGUUUUUUUGUGCUGGUAUUUGGUGAAAGUCAUUAAAGCCGUGCUGUUGGAGAAUAGAUUAAAAACUUUAAAACGAGGACAAAAAAAGUGCUUUCAGAGUACUAAUUUUGACACUCAGCUUCUUAAAUAUUUAAUUUUAUGCAUUACUGUGCUUUUUAGUUUGGCUGAGGACCGAUAAAACCGACGAAAAAAAAGUUAAUGUAAAUUAAAUCUAAACUUAACCAAAGCUAUGUUUGUUGUAUUUUAAUUUAUAGAAAAUCGUCUUUUUUCUUUUUUUUUCUUUUUCUUUUUCUUUUCUUUCUUUCUUUCUUUUCUUUUUUUUACAGCAGAGGGUAUUACGGAGUAAGCUACUGAUAUUCGACCCACAGUCUAUUUGUCAUAAAAAAAAAAAACAUUUUCCAUUAUUGGCGCUUGCAGUGGUUUUGAUUUUUCAUCACUCAAAUGUAGCUGUUUGAAAAAAGUACGUUUUCUAUUGCAAUUUAGAAGCCCGCGCUGACUGACUUUGAUUGUGCUUAAUAUGAAAUGAUUUUGCGUCUUUGUGCUUGCUUGUGAGUAAGCGGAUUAGACUUGGAAAGAUGAGUUUCAACAUGUGGUGAUAACCUCUUCAAAGAGGAGAACAGUACAGCGGGUCAUCGCAGUUUCUUAUAUUUCAUUUACUUCAUUCAUGUGUUUUUUAAAGGGCCCAAAAAAUAUCAAGCGCCAGCUUACAAGAUUUGAACUGAGUUAAGGGCUAAUAGUCUUCAGGAUACACAUAUACAAACCACAUCUGAGGUCUGACUGCGCCAUUAGUUUAUCAGAAGGAAUAAAGUUUUAUGAUUGAGGUUAGCCUGUUUAUAUGUAGGAACAAGAUCCAUUGCUUUUAAAAUCACGUUUUCUGGAUAUCAAUAUCUAUGCCUGGAUAUUUAUUAGUUAAACGUAGGCCUUCAGUCAUACAGUUGUCGCAUGUAUCAUGGAAACCAAUUUAAUCUAUGAGCAAAGGGUUAUUUAAUAAUUCUACCUUGUUUUUCCAUGAGGUACAAAGUUGUAUUUGGUCUGUGUUUUUAGAAAAUGUAGAAUGUGUCUGGUCCUCUAAGUUAUAGAUACUCUUGUCCAACAAUCAGGGGAAAUCACAGUAAUUCAGCAACUACUUCAAAGUAAAAUGCCUCUGGAGUCACUAAGCAAAGAAAGAAUUAAUUUGCAUCACAUUUUCUAAUUAAAAACGAAACUUUUUUUUCUGUGUGCAAAUAUAUAGAUAUUAGGGUCCAGCUUACUGUGCCUAAAAUGGCAAGAAAAAUAAUGGAGAAUUUCACAUGUUAGACUCACCUCUGCUUCCAAUGUAAAAGAGUCCUUAAAGAAGUGCGGUGCGAAUAAUAACUGAGGCAUUAUAGGACUUAACUAUUAAGAAAUUCCAUAUGUUUAACUGUAAUAUAUCACAUAGAUUGCAGUCAAACCUUGACACUUUUUAGAUGACAAGUAUGAGCACAAUUUUAUAUCAGGUCUCCUGAUAAAGAUGAGUGUUCCAGACUGAGAAGCGAGUGUUUGAGAAAGAGUUAUCAAACUAAAUGAGGGAACUAAAGUCAUUCUGUGUUUCACAUCUUAAUGGAUUUAAAGACAGACCCAUUUAAUUCACUGGCGUGCUGAACACUUGUAUUCACGUGUCUAAUUUUACACAAUACAGUAUGUCUGUGGAGCUAAUUGUGCCUAAUUGUGUGUGUUCUGGAAUGUAUGGGCUCAUCAUAGUUGUCUUGUUGUCUGUGCCUCCAUGUGCCUGUGUGCCAGUGUCAGUGUGUGCCCAUAUGUGAGUGUAUGCAUGCUCCACUACUCUGUAUCUGUGUGUGUGCACCCAUGUGUGCUGUAUGCAGCCUAUUAGUGGAGUUUAACCCCUGUGUUCAGGGAGUCACAUCCCCUCAACACACAGGCUCCAUUCUUAUUCUGAGCUUGCAGCACGUUAACAUUUUACUCUCUUCCCUCCCCACCCACCCCGUUCACUUUUGUCCUAAGAGGGCAAUUAAGGAAACAAACGUUUUCCCCAAGAUAAGCUGGCUGCCAGCUUUGCAUACUAAUGUAUUGCCAAGUGGUUACAAAUAGUGAGUGCUCUAAUUACCGGCACUAUUUUCAAUCAGAAAUUGCUCAAUUUCCCAGGAUGAGGUCUCUAUGGCUAGGAAAAAAGCCCAACCUGACAGGAGAAAGAGACAAUCAUCUCUAUGUGGAGUGCGGCUGAUUUUGUCUGGCUAUGUGUGUGUCCAUGUGCCUACGUGUGUGCAUGCAUGUUUGUGCGAACAAGUUCAUCUUCCUCUGUGUGGAUAGACCCCGGCAUGACCCACUCUUUUGCUGUUGCCCUUGACAAGUCAAGAAAUGGAUCCUGUCAGCCUCUACAGCAUUUAGCACCACAAUUAUCCCCUUUCACAGCCUGGCGGCAUUAAUGUAAACCACACCAGGCAGUAGUUGCCACUCAGUGAUCAGCACGAUGUGGUGCACCAUCUCUGGGUGAGCAAUUUGAUGCAAUUGUGUUGCUCUGUGAUCAUCAGUGCAAAUCAGGCCCUGCUCAUUUAUUAAGCAAUUUCUGCUGGAGAAAAUGAGAUGGAAGGCUGUUUUAAUUUGGCAGGAGAUAGUAAUAUCUGUAAAAGCAAAAAUAAUGGAGAAUGUGGUUGACACCAAACCCAAAAAAAAAAUGUCACUGAGUAGGGUGCAUCAGCUCAUCGGGGAGGGGGCUAUUCUGAGAGGAAUGGGCAUCCUCAUGUGGCCACCAGAAGUAGGGGGUAAUGCAGACCAAAGUGACAAGGACUCAAUCCCUGGAUGUGAGAAUGAGUCACUCCAUAGGAUGCGGAUGCAGGACCCAUCCGUUGGCCUUAGCUGACCUUUAGCUCUAACGGUGGCUAAUGGAGGGCUGGCCCUCGAUCAAUGCACUGAGAGACUGGGCUCCCUAUCCUUGCCCUUUCACCGGGCCAGGAAGGGAGGGAUGCUGCCAGAAGCCACGCCGUGCAGUCAUCGACCCUGCCACUUUUCCAUCCUGUGGGUGACAGCUGCAGUGCCAAUGAGCCUGGGGACGCCAUGCUGCCCUGCCACGUAGGAAGGACAGCCAGAAACUCUGUCUCUGUGGUGAUGGUGAUCUGUUUGUGAAGAUGACAUCCACGUAAACAACCCCAGCAAACACGUUGGUGUCAGAUUCUCAUAUGAUGCAUUAGUGUUGAAAACCUACAUGAAAGAUAAAACUUGUUUGAAUCUGCCUGAAGUUGUGAGUUUUAUCUUAAAACUUAUUCAGAAGCUGUUCAAAUUGUUAUUAUUGUUAUUAUUUGACUGCUAUUAUACAAAUUACAACUAUACAUAUGAUAAGAUGCAAAUCAGUCGUAGUUGUUAGAUCUGCAGUGUAGCGUCUGUACACACAAAGAGGUAAAGUCACCUUUACUUUACUUUUAUUGCAUUUGUUUAUAAAACGUUACAGUCGCAUUUGAAAUUUAGGUGUUGUUGGUAAACCUUUUAUGCCGCACUAUGUUUUUGUGCUUGGUGAUGUACUUUGUAAUCCAGAUGGCGCACCACUGCAUACCUUUUUAUCAGAACACACUCUUCUGCAAAGAGACAACAUUUGCAUAAAAACACCAAAAACACCAAAAAAACCAAAAAUGAAAAUGAAAAUAUUUAGUGCGCAUUUUAAUUGCAGAGACUUCCAAACAUGACGAUGUUCAAAAUAGUAGCAGAUGAAACAUUCUCUCCAUAUGGAGAGAGAAAAGAAAACAUCCAAGAGGUUUAACACAGAUUGUUCUUUUUAUUAUCAUUAACAGUAAUGUGAUUUUGAAGCCCUCUGUGACCUCCUCACAGCAGCACCUCAUUUCAGAAGUCAUUCAUUAGAACAAACAGAAGGCAGGCAGAAAGACAGCGAGGAAGAGACAUGGGGAGCGAGCAUAGUGUAAAAUAAAUUAGACUGUUCUUGUUAGAUGAACCACUUUGAGAUGGUGAAAGAAAGCAUGCUUCAGAAAUUCAAAGGCAAUCCAAUAGUACUGUAUUUGGAGAUGAAGAUGUCAUGUGGAGCCCGUGAUCCAGUUGUUAGUUUGUGCUAUAUGUAAUCAGUCAAACUACUGUCCAUUUUGGACUGUAAGGCCCAAGGGAAGCCUUAAAAUAAGGGUCUGAGGAGCAUGUUCGGACUGAGAUUGGGUAACACAGCUGUUCUUCAAGACCAUUGGUUGAUGUUGACUGCGGUGAAACUAAUCAAAAAGCUUCUUAAGUCUCCUCUGAUAUAAAUGGAUGGUACAGUCUUUCCCUUAUGAUUUGCACCAGUGUUUACAGAAUAAGGUUUUUAUACUACAGUGACAGCAAGGCCGCAUCUCUUCAUUAUGCACUUGGCCUCUCUUCUUAUCUGCACCCCUGGAGCUGCUUAUCUUACCAGGUCUGUAAAGGUCCACAUGACCUACCGCAAAUAUGCAAAUAUGUGAAUCUAUACAUACGUGAGAAUAAAAUAGUAGAAAUGUGAUACAGAGUGGCCAGAGGCUCGGCUGCACGAGGGGGGCAACAGUGGGUGGGGGAGGAGGGUGAAGCGAGCUGUGUGGAUACUUGGAGUGGUGUGACAGACUCCCCAGCCUCCUGGUAGGAUUUGUUGGAAUGUGAGAGAGGAGGAUUUUAGCACCAGGCGAGCCACGCCAGAGUGCUGCAGACUUCAUGCCAUCUGUCUCAGCCUCCAUCUUCUCUUUGCCAAACUCAUCAGACCUUUAUUUCCUCUCCCUCUUUCUCCUUCUCAUCCCUGUUCACAAGAGUAGCGGACAUACUGAGAUCUGCUAAUGUAUUGGAGGGAAAAAAUGGUCCAGCAUUAUAAAAAGAUUCAAAAUCUCAAUUGAUUAAUAUGUAUUCUUGGAGCUUAUUGUCCAGCAGCCCUGACGAAGAUAAAAAUGUGUGUUUUAUAGUCCUGCCAUUUUUUACUUGACCAACAGGGAAAGAGAGAGAGUUAUUCAUACCAUAGAUGAUAUGGUGCUCAGUUAAUAAUAAAAUGUGUUUCAAGUGACCGCCAAAAAGUUUACUUAUUUAAUGCUCCUUUAUAAACAAGCUCUUGCCUUUGAAAAAACUGUUGGAACAAUGUACACAUAUUGUGUUAUAAUAUGAUUAAAAGGUAUGCUAUAAAUAUUCAUUCUUUGUGUGGAAGUAAUUAUUUUCUCUAUGACUAAACUCAGGACUUUUUAAUGAUGCACUUUACACAAUCAAACUGUGGAUUACAGAUUUGAAGUUCCUUACACACCUUCAAGUUCAUAAAAAUGUAGCAGAUCCUUCACUAUAUACUACCAAAUUACUUCAAUGUAUAGACAUAUAUAUUGUUGGGCUUCGAUUAAAUCAAAAGCAGACUUAUAUUUCAAAUGAUGGUGUGACUCUGUGAUGUUUGGGUGGGACUGAUCUCUCACCCUGUCUCCGCAUGUGGGCGGCUAGGGAGGAGGCUGAAGGAGAUCACAGGGAGGAGCUGUACCAGCUCGAUGUCCUUAACCUGUUCUGAGAAGGGCAACAGAGGGUGGAGGGACUGGAAAGGAAAUGCACCCUUCGACCGAAAUGGAACACCAGGUGGCAGGAAGGGGGCAGGAGGCCUUUGAAGCUGACCCUUGGUCUCUGCGCUGGGAUGGCCUCAACACUCGAUUCAGCCAGAGAUGGCAGGGAGGGGAGCCAGGUGCCCCCAGAGGGCCUUUAGACCACACAGAUCUAUUAUGGUCGAGGCGGAGAGAUUAGGCCGGGGCUCAGCCCCAUUGCUCCCAGUCAUAUCACUGUGAAGACAGCCAGAGUCAAGCAACUGCAUCCUAACAAGCAGAAACAUACUGAGUAACGUCUCGUAUCAUCAUCAAAACUGUGUGUUUUAGGAAGAUUUUCCACUGUGAAAUUCUGUCAAAUCAGUAUGUAAAACGCUGCAUAAUUGGCACGUGUGCACACCUGAUAAAUGGAAUAAAUGUAGAUCAGCAGAAAGCUUUUGGAAAUGACAGAGUAAAUGUUGAAAGCAAUAAAGACAGAAACGAGUUAUUUCAGCAUGUUAAUACAUAUUUAUUUAUUUUUCACUGAAUAUAAACAGAGAUGAAUGAGCUGGGGAAAAAAUGUACUCUAGAAGGUGUAGGGAAGAAAGGAUCAAUCAAAAUCAGAAAAUAAAAUACACAAGAUUCAAUCAUACUACAUAACAGGAAGAUUGGAGCAUGAUCAAAGAGGUAUACAAACACAACAAUAUCACAAAAGAAGAAAAUUAAAUCAGCAGAUGUUUGUGUGCAGGAGUACACAUGUUAUUGUGACAAACUGCUAAGUGAUCCAGUAAACUGCAGGCAUUAUAUUGAAUUUGCCAGAAGGAAAACAUCAGCAAAUACUCAACAGCAGUUGUGUGAUUUGGGAUACUUUUGCCAUUAAAACACAGAUGUAAAACAUCCAGUGAUAAAGCUGCAGCAGUUUAUUAGGAGAUAAGCUUGCAUGUCUAUGAAUCAGGCAUCCCAUUCAUAGUGUUCAGCUAGGACAACACUAGGAAUGCGCAGGCUGCUUUGUAUUUUGGCCAGCUUUGGAGGAGGUGAGUGCUAUCAGUGUCUACAUGCUCAUCCCUCUGUAUUUCUAUGUUUACUGCACACAACACGCAAGCAAACACACAUUUCCACGCACACUUACACUCACAAACAGAAACUCAAAUCCUGAUCCUCACCCACCCCCCUAUGCUUCCCUCCUCGGGUGAGGAAAUGACACUCAGCGAGGAUGGCUGGGAGAAAUGAAGACAUGUCUGAUUUCCUCAGUAGCCAAUGGUGUUUCUGCUCUCUGUACUCUCUGCCCUCUGAUAGGUCUUUGUAACUCUCUUCAUCUCAAGGCCCAUGUCAUUCCUUCUAAUCUCCUUCCCAAACACAAACGGGCCAAUCCUGAGACACGGCUCAGGGGCUGGGGAGGGAUGACGCAGCUGAGGCAUGGAAAGAGUGAGGGAUGUUGUUCAGGAGGAGAGAAAGGUGCAUCAGAAGCUGAUGGUGGUGUGAGAAGGAGCCAAUGUGUUAUUAUUAAUAAAGCAUUAAAAAAAAAACGCGAGCACAUCAAAGCAUACAGGGGCUG